CGGUUGAUCCUGCCGGACCCUACUGCUAUCGGGGUGGGACUAAAACAUGCAAGUCGAGCGUCUCCAAAGCCAUGGUUGGAGGCGCGGCGUACGGCUCAGUAACACGUGGCUAACCUGCCCUUGGGACGGGAACACCCCCGGGAAACCACGCACAGACCUUGACCACAUAAACACAAAUUCUCAAAGAAUCCAAAAACCCCAUAACACAAACAAACACUUCACUACACCGCCUUGCCGAUUUCUAAGCUGGCAAAGGCUAUCUCAAACUAACCAAAACCUACACGCAACUUUCUAAGAAUAGAAACUUAAGGCUCUGGCGUAGCCCAAAACUGGGGUUAAUUCCCGAUAGGUGAGGAGGCCUGGAAUGGUUCUUCGCUGAAAAGGCGUUAGAGGCAUGCUCUCUAACGUUGCCUAAGGAUGGGGCCGCGUCCGAUCAGGUUGUUGGUGAGGUAACGGCUCACCAAGCCUAUAACCGGUACGGGCCGUGAGAGCGGAAGCCCGGAGAUGGGCACUGAGAUAAGGGCCCAGGCCCUACGGGGCGCAGCAGUUGCGAAAACUCGCCAAUGCACGAAAGUGUGAGCGGGCUACCCCGAGUGCCGUCCGCUGAGGAUGGCUUUUCCCUGCUGUAAGGAGGCAGAGGAAUAAGGAGAGGGCAAGACUGGUGUCAGCCGCCGCGGUAAUACCAGCUCUCCGAGUGGUAGGGGUGAUUAUUGGGCUUAAAGCGUCCGUAGCCGGCCUAGCAAGUCUUUCGUUAAAUCCAGCAACCUAAUUGUUGGGCCGCGGAGGAUACUGUUAGGCUAGGGGGCGGGAGAGGUCGACGGUAUUCUCGGGGUAGGGGUGAAAUCUUAUAAUCCCGGGAGGACCACCAGUGGCGAAGGCUGUCGGCUAGCACGCGCCUGACGGUGAGGGACGAAAGCUGGGGGAGCGAACCGGAUUAGAUACCCGGGUAGCCCCAGCUGUAAACGAUGCGGGCUAGGUGUUGGGGUGGCUACGAGCCACUUCAGUGCCGCAGGGAAGCCAUUAAGCCCGCCGCCUGGGGAGUACGGCCGCAAGGCUGAAACUUAAAGGAAUUGGCGGGGGACGAC
This 1085-nucleotide ribosomal RNA is filed under the name uncultured archaeon. RNAcentral describes it as "bacterial SSU rRNA". It matches the Rfam family "Archaeal small subunit ribosomal RNA", at positions 5 to 879 of the family's 1478-position model. The record is from RNAcentral.